AUGAACGCUGGCGGCGUGCCUCACACAUGCAAGUCGAACGGAGUCCAGCCUUUAAGACCUUCGGGUCAAAGAGGGGAAGACUGAGUGGCGGACGGGUGAGUAACACGUGGGCAACCUGGCUCAUAGAGGGGGAUAACAGAGAGAAAUUUCUGCUAAUACCGCAUAAGCACACACUGCCGCAUGGCAGAGGGUGAAAAGAGAAUCGCUAUGAGAUGGACCCGCGUCUGAUUAGCCAGUUGGCAGGGUAAGAGCCUACCAAAGCGACGAUCAGUAGCCGAUCUGAGAGGAUGAACGGCCACAUUGGGACUGAGACACGGCCCAAACUCCUACGGGAGGCGGCAGUGGGGGAUAUUGCACAAUGGGGGGAACCCUGAUGCAGCGACGCCGCGUGAGUGAAGAAGUAUUUCGGUAUGUAAAGCUCUAUCAGCAGGGAAGAUAAUGACAGUACCUGAAGAAGAAGCCCCGGCUAACUACGUG
RNAcentral lists this ribosomal RNA (477 nucleotides) under uncultured bacterium. RNAcentral describes it as "partial 16S ribosomal RNA". It matches the Rfam family "Bacterial small subunit ribosomal RNA", at positions 30 to 507 of the family's 1533-position model. The record is from RNAcentral.